GCUUAAGGCCAUACUGUCCUAAAAAUACCUGAUCUCGUCUGAUCUUGGAAGCUAAGCAAGGUUGGGACUGGUUAGUAGUUGGAUGACAGACUGCCUGGGAAUAUCAGGUGCUGUAAGCU
This 119-nucleotide ribosomal RNA is filed under the name Cyprinodon variegatus (sheepshead minnow). Lineage: Eukaryota; Metazoa; Chordata; Actinopteri; Cyprinodontiformes; Cyprinodontidae. The record is from RNAcentral.